RNAcentral lists this ribosomal RNA (470 nucleotides) under uncultured bacterium. RNAcentral describes it as "bacterial SSU rRNA". It matches the Rfam family "Bacterial small subunit ribosomal RNA", at positions 28 to 507 of the family's 1533-position model. The record is from RNAcentral.
GAUGAACGCUAGCUACAGGCUUAACACAUGCAAGUCGAGGGGCAGCAUGAUUGAAGCUUGCUUCAAUUGAUGGCGACCGGCGCACGGGUGAGUAACACGUAUCCAACCUUCCGUACACUCAGGGAUAGCCUUUCGAAAGAAAGAUUAAUACCUGAUGGUAUCUUAAGCACACAUGUAAUUAAGAUUAAAGAUUUAUCGGUGUACGAUGGGGAUGCGUUCCAUUAGGUAGUAGGCGGGGUAACGGCCCACCUAGCCUACGAUGGAUAGGGGUUCUGAGAGGAAGGUCCCCCACAUUGGAACUGAGACACGGUCCAAACUCCUACGGGAGGCAGCAGUGAGGAAUAUUGGUCAAUGGGGGGAAACCCUGAUGCAGCGACGCCGCGUGAAGGAAGAAGUAUUUCGGUAUGUAAACUUCUAUCAGCAAGGAAGAAAAUGACGGUACUUGACUAAGAAGCCCGGCUAAAUACGUG